UGCAGUCGACGGCAGCGCGGACUUCGGUCUGGCGGCGAGUGGCGAACGGGUGAGUAWUACAUCGGAACGUACCCUGUUGUGGGGGAUAACUAGUCGAAAGAUUAGCUAAUACCGCAUACGACCUGAGGGUGAAAGUGGGGGACCGCAAGGCCUCACGCAGCAGGAGCGGCCGAUGUCUGAUUAGCUAGUUGGUGGGGUAAAGGCCCACCAAGGCGACGAUCAGUAGCUGGUCUGAGAGGACGAUCAGCCACACUGGGACUGAGACAC
RNAcentral lists this ribosomal RNA (267 nucleotides) under Cupriavidus sp. RZ3MS7. RNAcentral describes it as "partial 16S ribosomal RNA". It matches the Rfam family "Bacterial small subunit ribosomal RNA", at positions 60 to 327 of the family's 1533-position model. Lineage: Bacteria; Pseudomonadati; Pseudomonadota; Betaproteobacteria; Burkholderiales; Burkholderiaceae. The record is from RNAcentral.